RNAcentral lists this ribosomal RNA (253 nucleotides) under uncultured bacterium. Its description in RNAcentral is "partial 16S ribosomal RNA". It matches the Rfam family "Bacterial small subunit ribosomal RNA", at positions 524 to 776 of the family's 1533-position model. The record is from RNAcentral.
UACGGGGGGGGCAAGCGUUGUUCGGAAUUACUGGGCGUAAAGGGCUCGUAGGCGGCCAACUAAGUCAGACGUGAAAUCCCUCGGCUUAACCGGGGAACUGCGUCUGAUACUGGUUGGCUUGAAUCCGGGAGAGGGAUGUGGAAUUCCAGGUGUAGCGGUGAAAUGCGUAGAUAUCUGGAGGAACACCGGUGGCGAAGGCGGCAUCCUGGACCGGUAUUGACGCUGAGGAGCGAAAGUGUGGGGAGCGAACAGG